UACGGGGGGGCAAGCGUUGUUCGGAAUUACUGGGCGUAAAGGGCUCGUAGGUGGCCAACUAAGUCAGACGUGAAAUCCCUCGGCUUAACCGGGAACUGCGUCUGAUACUGGAUGGCUUGAGUUCGGGAGAGGGAUGCGGAAUUCCAGGUGUAGCGGUGAAAUGCGUAGAUAUCUGGAGGAACACCGGUGGCGAAGGCGGCAUCCUGGACCGACACUGACGCUGAGGAG
Molecule: ribosomal RNA, 228 nt
Filed under: uncultured bacterium
Lineage: Bacteria
Description: partial 16S ribosomal RNA
Rfam family: Bacterial small subunit ribosomal RNA
Source: RNAcentral